CAGGGGUUGGUUGUGCCAGGACAAUGGGAUGUGCAUGGAAUGCAACUAUUUCACAUAAAAAGAAAUGGAGAAGUGUGAUAGCAGGGACAGUUAUGAAUGACUACAGGGGGUCAGCAAACAUAGGGGAGAGUUAUACUCAUGAAUGACCACAGGGGGGCAGUAAGUGCUCCAACCCAACAGCAGUUACCCUUGCCUGCCCAAGGGACUAGCUGUUGGCCAUCACGCAGCCCCUGCCGCUCCAGGACGCCCCGGGAGACCGUGUGCUUGGCAGCCCCUGUGGAGCAGCUGCUAACUGUGCUGUACAGCUUCCCUCCCUCAACCCCAGACUAGCCUUGGGGAGAAGCCAGCAGGCAAGCAGCGCAGCCCCAGCUGUCCUGGACCAACCUGACCCCCGACAAUACCGGCCUGAAGCAGACACCUGACAGAAAAUAUGAUCUUGAGAACUCGGCAUAUCCAAGCAGACAGCCAUUACUCCAGCUUGCAGCAGGCAACAAUCGCCAGACAGCUAACAAUGGAACAUUAAAAAGAACAUCUAUUCUUUCUUCUUUUCCCCUUUCCCAUCUUCUCAUUGUUUAUGUUUAUCAGUCUGGAUUUUAUUUGGGAAAGUGAUUUGACAAAACUCAUACCUUUGUAAACACGGAACAUUUUGAUUGUAAUA
Molecule: non-coding RNA, 658 nt
Organism: Pelodiscus sinensis (Chinese soft-shelled turtle)
Lineage: Eukaryota; Metazoa; Chordata; Testudines; Trionychidae
Source: RefSeq, a predicted model, not a curated record